Molecule: long non-coding RNA, 1533 nt
Organism: Eriocheir sinensis (Chinese mitten crab)
Lineage: Eukaryota; Metazoa; Arthropoda; Malacostraca; Decapoda; Varunidae
Exons: 2
Source: RefSeq, a predicted model, not a curated record
AAAUAGCAGCUUGCGGUGGUGAGAUUUCGUAGUUAGGAGGAAGGUUUCGUUUGAGGCGGACGUGGAAUCUAACCCUCUCUGUCACCACCACCACCACCACUACUGUAACGCCACAAGAGGAAGUUGAAGUCAUCGAUCAAUCCUAAGAAACGCAUUGCAACCACCAUCACUAACACCACAAGAACAGUCGAAGUCACCGAUCACCUUCAAAAAUCCUAUUUCCACAACCCACAAUGAAGAUCCUACACUCUACAUCACUCGUCCUCGUCCUGGUCCUCAUCCUCAAAGCCUACGGGAGUGAGGAAGUGCAGAGUAACCUCCCACGUAAUCAUCUUGGAAGCCCAGUCAAGGAACAAGAAACUGAUAGGGCCUUAGCGAAUCCCCCAACAACCCGAGCCACGACCUAUUCAUCCCUUCUCACACUGAACGUCUCCAACACCAUCGUCGUGGCUCUCUUAGCUGCAGCCGGAGCCUUCUACUACGGCGGGGUCCCCUUCUUCAGCAUCAGGAGGUCCCUCACUGGCCUCUGGGACCGCUGGGACUCCGGGUUCUCCGAUGCGUGGCAGUCUGGGCUCACGGGACUUUGGGACUCGGGACUUCGCGAUGCCAUUCAAGCCCUAACGCCCGUGGUCCAAGAGGCUCUCCGAGUGUACAGCGAGAGGCAUUCUUAGCCAGUGUGAGAUACAGUGGCACUCGAUCUACAGAAAUGGCACUACAUGACAGCCCGGGCCAUACCUAUAUGUGGUUCGAAUCUUUAUUGAAGCUACUGAGUACCUUUCAAGCACUUAUCUGAUAUCAUGUGGCAUUGUAACCCUUUUUCGUGUGUCUUAAGAGGAGAAUUCUAAUCCUAUGUAGCUCUCCGUAAUGUUGAUUUACUCGAUAUGAUUGUUAUUUGUGUUGUUAUAUUUGUAGGUUAUUAACGGGCUUUAUCGUUUUAUUGUUUGUUGAGGUAUACGAUUUUGUUAUGUAAGAAUAUAAUGAAUAUAUAGUAAGAUUACAAUAGUAAGUGAAUAUAUUUGUGAAUGAAGCUAAAUUUGCACCUUAUCAACAGUCUCUCUAUAUAAUUUUGUUAAUUAAGGAAUACGAGUUGUUAUUUGAGGGUAGGAUGAAUAAUAACAAUAACAAUAUGUUGAUAGGAGGAUAUUAUUAGUUAGGUGAUUAUUGAUGUGUUAAAUUUGCACCUUAUCUAUCUAUAUCUUUAGGAAUAAGUGUUUUAUUUAGUUAGUUUAGAAUCAUAUGUGGCAUUCCUUUGUCUAAUCUUAUUAUUAGUUAGUGAGAGCACACACACACACACACACACACACACACACACACACACACAUGAUAGCACUGGGAACACGCAUAUGGUGGAAUCUAUUGCCUGAUCAACACUAAGAUAACUACAUACACGCACUACAUAACACUACACAGGGAAUGGUUUCGAAUACUAUCAUAACGAAAUGGUCGGAGAUCUGAAUCCCUUUGAUAUUAUUUAUGUAUGGUACGAUUCCCUUUACUGCAACUACAAAUAAAACGGUUUUCAUUAUUGCUAAA